RNAcentral lists this unclassified non-coding RNA (440 nucleotides) under Hevea brasiliensis (rubber tree). Lineage: Eukaryota; Viridiplantae; Streptophyta; Magnoliopsida; Malpighiales; Euphorbiaceae. The record is from RNAcentral.
GUAACCUAAAUAAUGCUGCUUGUGAGUUAAAAUUGAAAGAAUACACACAGGCAGAAAAGCUGUGCACUAAGGUGUUAGAGAUAGAGAGUAGAAAUGUAAAGGCUCUUUAUAGGAGAGCUCAGGCAUAUAUCCAGUUGGCAGAUUUGGAUCUGGCUGAGUUUGAUAUUAAGAAAGCCCUUGAAAUUGACCCCGAGAAUAGGGAUGUCAAGCUGGAGUAUAAAAAGUUGAAGGAAAAGAUGAGGGAGUAUAUCAAGAAAGAAGCCAAGUUUUAUGGCAACAUGUUUAUUGCCAAGAUGAAUAAGCUGGGCCCUAUUGACUCUAUUAAAUCUGAAGCUGAGGCAGAGCCAAUGAGCAUAGACAGCAAGGCGUGAGAAGGGAGGAAAAUGGAUGAUUAACUGGAAUAAGAACGAGCAAAGUCCUAGUUUUUGGAAUUUUUUUUU